AUUGAACGCUGGCGGAAUGCUUUACACAUGCAAGUCGAGCGGCAGCGCGGGGGCAACCCUGGCGGCGAGCGGCGAACGGGUGAGUAACAUAUCGGAACGUACCCAGUCGUGGGGGAUAACUAUCCGAAAGGAUAGCUAAUACCGCAUACGUCCUGAGGGAGAAAGCGGGGGAUCGCAAGACCUCGCGCGAUUGGAGCGGCCGAUAUCGGAUUAGCUAGUUGGUGGGGUAAAGGCUCACCAAGGCGACGAUCCGUAGCGGGUCUGAGAGGAUGAUCCGCCACACUGGGACUGAGACACGGCCCAGACUCCUACGGGAGGCAGCAGUGGGGAAUUUUGGACAAUGGGCGCAAGCCUGAUCCAGCCAUGCCGCGUGCGGGACGAAGGCCUCGG
Molecule: ribosomal RNA, 390 nt
Filed under: uncultured bacterium
Lineage: Bacteria
Description: bacterial SSU rRNA
Rfam family: Bacterial small subunit ribosomal RNA
Source: RNAcentral